Molecule: ribosomal RNA, 458 nt
Filed under: uncultured soil bacterium
Lineage: Bacteria
Description: bacterial SSU rRNA
Rfam family: Bacterial small subunit ribosomal RNA
Source: RNAcentral
AGAUUGAACGCUGGCGGCAUGCCUUACACAUGCAAGUCGAACGGCAGCACGGGAGCAAUCCUGGUGGCGAGUGGCGAACGGGUGAGUAAUACAUCGGAACGUGCCCAGUUGUGGGGGGAUAGCCCGGCGAAAGCCGGAUUAAUACCGCAUACGACCUAAGGGUGAAAGCGGGGGAUCGCAAGACCUCGCGCAACUGGAGCGGCCGAUGGCAGAUUAGCUUGUUGGUGGGGUAAAAGCCUACCAAGGCGACGAUCUGUAGCUGGUCUGAGAGGACGACCAGCCACACUGGGACUGAGACACGGCCCAGACUCCUACGGGAGGCAGCAGUGGGGAAUUUUGGACAAUGGGCGCAAGCCUGAUCCAGCCAUGCCGCGUGCGGGAAGAAGGCCUUCGGUUGUAAACCGUCUUUGUCAGGAAGAACGGUCUGAUCUAAUAAAUUGACUAAUGAGUACCUGAAG